This 492-nucleotide ribosomal RNA is filed under the name uncultured bacterium. Its description in RNAcentral is "partial 16S ribosomal RNA". It matches the Rfam family "Bacterial small subunit ribosomal RNA", at positions 29 to 507 of the family's 1533-position model. The record is from RNAcentral.
AGUGAACGCUGGCGGUAGGCCUAACACAUGCAAGUCGAACGGCAGCACAGUAAGAGCUUGCUCUUACGGGUGGCGAGUGGCGGACGGGUGAGGAAUACAUCGGAAUCUACUUUUUCGUGGGGGAUAGCGUAGGGAAACUUACGCUAAUACCGCAUACGACCUACGGGUGAAAGCAGGGGAUCUUCGGACCUUGCGCGAUUGAAUGAGCCGAUGUCGGAUUAGCUAGUUGGCGGGGUAGAGGCCCACCAAGGCGACGAUCCGUAGCUGGUCUGAGAGGAUGAUCAGCCACACUGGAACUGAGACACGGUCCAGACUCCUACGGGAGGCAGCAGUGGGGAAUAUUGGACAAUGGGCGCAAGCCUGAUCCAGCCAUACCGCGUGGGUGAAGAAGGCCUUCGGGUUGUAAAGCCCUUUUGUUGGGAAAGAAAAGCAGCAGGUUAAUACCCCGCUGUUCUGACGGUACCCAAAGAAUAAGCACCGGCUAACUUCGUG